CAAGUCGAACGAUGAAGCCCAGCUUGCUGGGUGGAUUAGUGGCGAACGGGUGAGUAACACGUGAGUAACCUGCCCUUAACUCUGGGAUAAGCCUGGGAAACUGGGUCUAAUACCGGAUAGGAGCGCCCACCGCAUGGUGGGUGUUGGAAAGAUUUAUCGGUUUUGGAUGGACUCGCGGCCUAUCAGCUUGUUGGUGAGGUAAUGGCUCACCAAGGCGACGACGGGUAGCCGGCCUGAGAGGGUGACCGGCCACACUGGGACUGAGACACGGCCCAGACUCCUACGGGAGGCAGCAGUGGGGAAUAUUGCACAAUGGGCGCAAGCCUGAUGCAGCGACGCCGCGUGAGGGAUGACGGCCUUCGGGUUGUAAACCUCUUUCAGUAGGGAAGAAGCGAAAGUGACGGUACCUGCAGAAGAAGCACCGGCUAACUACGUGCCAGCAGCCGCGGUAAUACGUAGGGUGCGAGCGUUAUCCGGAAUUAUUGGGCGUAAAGAGCUCGUAGGCGGUUUGUCGCGUCUGUCGUGAAAGUCCGGGGCUUAACCCCGGAUCUGCGGUGGGUACGGGCAGACUAGAGUGCAGUAGGGGAGACUGGAAUUCCUGGUGUAGCGGUGGAAUGCGCAGAUAUCAGGAGGAACACCGAUGGCGAAGGCAGGUCUCUGGGCUGUAACUGACGCUGAGGAGCGAAAGCAUGGGGAGCGAACAGGAUUAGAUACCCUGGUAGUCCAUGCCGUAAACGUUGGGCACUAGGUGUGGGGACCAUUCCACGGUUUCCGCGCCGCAGCUAACGCAUUAAGUGCCCCGCCUGGGGAGUACGGCCGCAAGGCUAAAACUCAAAGGAAUUGACGGGGGGCCCGCACAAGCGGCGGAGCAUGCGGAUUAAUUUGAUGCAACGCGAAGAACCUUACCAAGGCUUGACAUGUUCCUCGAUCGCUGUACAGAUACGGUUUCCCCUUUGGGACGGGUUCACAGGUGGUGCAUGGUUGUAGUCAGCUCGUGUCGUGAGAUGUAGGGUUAAGUCCCGCAACGAGCGCAACCCUCGUUCCAUGUUGCCAGCACGUCGUGGUGGGGAAUCAUGGGAGGCUGCCGGGGUCAACUAGGAGGAAGGUGAGGACGACGUCAAAUCAUCAUGCCCCUUAUGUCUUGGGCUUCACGCAUGCUACAAUGGCCGGUACAAUGGGUUGCGAUACUGUGAGGUGGAGCUAAUCCCAAAAAGCCGGUCUCAGUUCGGAUGGGGGUGUGCAACUCGACCCCAUGAAGUCGGAGUCGCUAGUAAUCGCAGAUCAGCAACGAUGCGGUGAAUACGUUCCCGGGCCUUGUACACCCCGCCCGUCAAGUCACGAAAGUUGGUAACACCCGAAGCCGGUGGCCUAACCCUU
Molecule: ribosomal RNA, 1377 nt
Filed under: Micrococcus sp.
Lineage: Bacteria; Bacillati; Actinomycetota; Actinomycetes; Micrococcales; Micrococcaceae
Also listed under: 1 other name
Description: bacterial SSU rRNA
Rfam family: Bacterial small subunit ribosomal RNA
Source: RNAcentral